UAAGCAUAUCAAUAAGCGGAGGAAAAGAAACCAACAGGGAUUGCCCUAGUAACGGCGAGUGAAGCGGCAACAGCUCAAAUUUGAAAUCUGGCCCCCGGGUCCGAGUUGUAAUUUGUAGAGGAUGCUUUUGGUGCGGUACCUUCCGAGUGCCCUGGAACGGGACGCCAUAGAGGGUGAGAGCCCCGUCUGGUUGGACGCCAAUCCUUUGUAAAGCUCCUUCAACGAGUCGAGUAGUUUGGGAAUGCUGCUCUAAAUGGGAGGUAUAUGUCUUCUAAAGCUAAAUAUUGGCCAGAGACCGAUAGCGCACAAGUAGAGUGAUCGAAAGAUGAAAAGCACUUUGAAAAGAGAGUUAAAAAGUACGUGAAAUUGUUGAAAGGGAAGCGCUCAUGACCAGACUUGGGCUUGGUUGAUCAUCCAGGGUUCUCCCUGGUGCACUCUUCCGGCCCAGGCCAGCAUCAGUUCGCUGUGGGGGAUAAAGGCUUCGGGAAUGUGGCUCCCUCGGGAGUGUUAUAGCCCGUCGUGUAAUACCCUGUGGCGGACUGAGGUUCGCGCAUUCGCAAGGAUGCUGGCGUAAUGGUCAUCAGCGACCCGUCUUGAAACACGGACCAAGGAGUCGUCUUCGUAUGCGAGUGUUCGGGUGUCAAACCCCUACGCGUAAUGAAAGUGAACGCAGGUGAGAGCUUCGGCGCAUCAUCGACCGAUCCUGAUGUUCUCGGAUGGAUUUGAGUAAGAGCAUACGGGGCCGGACCCGAAAGAAGGUGAACUAUGCCUGUAUAGGGUGAAGCCAGAGGAAGGCUUCUGGUGGAGGCUCGCAGCGGUUUCUGACGUGCAAAUCGAUCGUCAAAUAAUGGGCAUGGGGGCGAAAGACUAAU
Molecule: ribosomal RNA, 872 nt
Filed under: Neonectria galligena
Lineage: Eukaryota; Fungi; Ascomycota; Sordariomycetes; Hypocreales; Nectriaceae
Description: LSU rRNA
Rfam family: Eukaryotic large subunit ribosomal RNA
Source: RNAcentral